RNAcentral lists this ribosomal RNA (468 nucleotides) under uncultured bacterium. RNAcentral describes it as "partial 16S ribosomal RNA". It matches the Rfam family "Bacterial small subunit ribosomal RNA", at positions 28 to 507 of the family's 1533-position model. The record is from RNAcentral.
GACGAACGCUGGCGGCGUGCUUAACACAUGCAAGUCGAACGGAAAGGCCCUGCUUUUGUGGGGUGCUCGAGUGGCGAACGGGUGAGUAACACGUGAGUAACCUGCCCUUGACUUUGGGAUAACUUCAGGAAACUGGGGCUAAUACCGGAUAGGAGCUCCUGCUGCAUGGUGGGGGUUGGAAAGUUUCGGCGGUUGGGGAUGGACUCGCGGCUUAUCAGCUUGUUGGUGGGGUAGUGGCUUACCAAGGCUUUGACGGGUAGCCGGCCUGAGAGGGUGACCGGCCACAUUGGGACGGAGAUACGGCCCAGACUCCUACGGGAGGCAGCAGUGGGGAAUAUUGCACAAGGGGCGGAAGCCUGAUGCAGCAACGCCGCGUGCGGGAUGACGGCCUUCGGGUUGUAAACCGCUUUCGCCUGUGACGAAGCGUGAGUGACGGUAAUGGGUAAAGAAGCACCGGCUAACUACGUG